UGGGUAUGUAGCUCAGUGGAUAGAGCAUCAGGUUCCGGUCCUGAGGGUCGGGGGUUCGAGUCCCUCCAUACUCGU
Molecule: transfer RNA, 75 nt
Filed under: Planktothrix agardhii
Lineage: Bacteria; Bacillati; Cyanobacteriota; Cyanophyceae; Oscillatoriales; Microcoleaceae
Also listed under: 4 other names
Description: tRNA-Arg
Rfam family: tRNA
About the family: Transfer RNA (tRNA) molecules are approximately 80 nucleotides in length.
Source: RNAcentral